CGUCUAUAUACGUAUAGCAUAUCAAUAAGCGGAGGAAAAGAAACUAACUAGGAUUCCCUCAGUAACGGCGAGUGGAGCGGGAAGAGCUCAAAUUUGAAAUCUUAAAGGUUUCCCUUGACGAAUUGUAGUUUAAAGAAGUGUUUUCUGUUGGAGUUUCGGUAAAAGUUCUUUGGAAUAGGACAUCAUAGAGGGUGAGAAUCCCGUAUUUGACCAUUACUUUCCAGCUUUGUGAUACACUUUCAAAGAGUCGGAUUGUUUGGGAAUGCAGUCCAAAAUGGGUGGUAAAUUUCAUCUAAAGCUAAAUAUUGGCGAGAGACCGAUAGCGAACAAGUACCGUGAGGGAAAGAUGAAAAGAACUUUGAAAAGAGAGUUAAACAGUACGUGAAAUUGUCAAAAGGGAAGCGUUUGACACCAGUGUUGUUUUCUCGAAAAUCAAUUAAAAAAGGCAUGGAUUUUGUGUUGUAUUGACUUUAUCAGCUUUCUGCACUCUUUUCUUGUCUUUUUUAAUGCACUUUUCGUUUAACAAGUCAACAUCAAUUUCUUUUGUUGUAAAAGGGUCAUUGGAAGGUGGCUUUCUUUUCGGAGAAAGUGUUUAUAGCCUUUGGCCUCUGCAAUCGGAGAGAUUGAGGUCUGCAGCGUAGAUCCUUCGGGGUUAGAUACAUUUGUGCUAAGUUAUAGCCUUUCAUAGACAACUUGUUGACUAUGAUCAGUCAUGUAGCUUACUCGCUUAUGCUAUUUUACCUACGCUUAGGAUGUUGAAGUCAUCGUAUCGCGC
RNAcentral lists this ribosomal RNA (775 nucleotides) under uncultured Neocallimastigales. Its description in RNAcentral is "partial large subunit ribosomal RNA". It matches the Rfam family "Eukaryotic large subunit ribosomal RNA", at positions 26 to 645 of the family's 3401-position model. Lineage: Eukaryota; Fungi; Neocallimastigomycota; Neocallimastigomycetes; Neocallimastigales. The record is from RNAcentral.